Molecule: ribosomal RNA, 253 nt
Filed under: uncultured bacterium
Lineage: Bacteria
Description: partial 16S ribosomal RNA
Rfam family: Bacterial small subunit ribosomal RNA
Source: RNAcentral
UACAGAGGGUGCGAGCGUUAAUCGGAAUUACUGGGCGUAAAGCGUGCGCAGGCGGUUUUGUAAGACAGAGGUGAAAUCCCCGGGCUCAACCUGGGAACUGCCUUUGUGACUGCAAGGCUGGAGUACGGCAGAGGGGGAUGGAAUUCCGCGUGUAGCAGUGAAAUGCGUAGAUAUGCGGAGGAACACCGAUGGCGAAGGCAGUCCCCUGGGCCUGUACUGACGCUCAUGCACGAAAGCGUGGGGAGCAAACAGG